GAUGAACGCUGGCGGCGUGCCUAAUACAUGCAAGUCGAGCGAACGGACGAGAAGCUUGCUUCUCUGAUGUUAGCGGCGGACGGGUGAGUAACACGUGGAUAACCUACCUAUAAGACUGGGAUAACUUCGGGAAACCGGAGCUAAUACCGGAUAAUAUUUUGAACCGCAUGGUUCAAAAGUGAAAGACGGUCUUGCUGUCACUUAUAGAUGGAUCCGCGCUGCAUUAGCUAGUUGGUAAGGUAACGGCUUACCAAGGCAACGAUGCAUAGCCGACCUGAGAGGGUGAUCGGCCACACUGGAACUGAGACGCGGUCCAGACUCCUACGGGAGGCAGCAGUAGGGAAUCUUCCGCAAUGGGCGAAAGCCUGACGGAGCAACGCCGCGUGAGUGAUGAAGGUCUUCGGAUCGUAAAACUCUGUUAUUAGGGAAGAACAUAUGUGUAAGUAACUGUGCACAUCUUGACGGUACCUAAUCAGAAAGCCACGGCUAACUACGUGCCAGCAGCCGCGGUAAUACGUAGGUGGCAAGCGUUAUCCGGAAUUAUUGGGCGUAAAGCGCGCGUAGGCGGUUUUUUAAGUCUGAUGUGAAAGCCCACGGCUCAACCGUGGAGGGUCAUUGGAAACUAGAAAACUUGAGUGCAGAAGAGGAAAGUGGAAUUCCAUGUGUAGCGGUGAAAUGCGCAGAGAUAUGGAGGAACACCAGUGGCGAAGGCGACUUUCUGGUCUGUAACUGACGCUGAUGUGCGAAAGCGUGGGGAUCAAACAGGAUUAGAUACCCUGGUAGUCCACGCCGUAAACGAUGAGUGCUAAGUGUUAGGGGGUUUCCGCCCCUUAGUGCUGCAGCUAACGCAUUAAGCACUCCGCCUGGGGAGUACGACCGCAAGGUUGAAACUCAAAGGAAUUGGCGGGGACCCGCACAAGCGGUGGAGCAUGUGGUUUAAUUCGAAGCAACGCGAAGAACCUUACCAAAUCUUGACAUCCUUUGACAACUCUAGAGAUAGAGCCUUCCCCCUCGGGGGACAAAGUGACAGGUGGUGCAUGGUUGUCGUCAGCUCGUGUCGUGAGAUGUUGGGUUAAGUCCCGCAACGAGCGCAACCCUUAAGCUUAGUUGCCAUCAUUAAGUUGGGCACUCUAAGUUGACUGCCGGUGACAAACCGGAGGAAGGUGGGGAUGACGUCAAAUCAUCAUGCCCCUUAUGAUUUGGGCUACACACGUGCUACAAUGGACAAUACAAAGGGCAGCGAAACCGCGAGGUCAAGCAAAUCCCAUAAAGUUGUUCUCAGUUCGGAUUGUAGUCUGCAACUCGACUACAUGAAGCUGGAAUCGCUAGUAAUCGUAGAUCAGCAUGCUACGGUGAAUACGUUCCCGGGUCU
RNAcentral lists this ribosomal RNA (1372 nucleotides) under uncultured bacterium. Its description in RNAcentral is "bacterial SSU rRNA". It matches the Rfam family "Bacterial small subunit ribosomal RNA", at positions 28 to 1381 of the family's 1533-position model. The record is from RNAcentral.